RNAcentral lists this ribosomal RNA (497 nucleotides) under uncultured bacterium. Its description in RNAcentral is "partial 16S ribosomal RNA". It matches the Rfam family "Bacterial small subunit ribosomal RNA", at positions 28 to 507 of the family's 1533-position model. The record is from RNAcentral.
GACGAACGCUGGCGGCGUGCCUAAUACAUGCAAGUAGAACGCUGAAGAGAGGAGCUUACUCUUCUUGGAUGAGUUGCGAACGGGUGAGUAACGCGUAGGUAACCUGCCUUGUAGCGGGGGAUAACUAUUGGAAACGAUAGCUAAUACCGCAUAACAAUGGAUGACACAUGUCAUUUAUUUGAAAGGGGCAAUUGCUCCACUACAAGAUGGACCUGCGUUGUAUUAGCUAGUAGGUGAGGUAAUGGCUCACCUAGGCGUCGAUACAUAGCCGACCUGAGAGGGUGAUCGGCCACACUGGGACUGAGACACGGCCCAGACUCCUACGGGAGGCAGCAGUAGGGAAUCUUCGGCAAUGGGGGCAACCCUGACCGAGCAACGCCGCGUGAGUGAAGAAGGUUUUCGGAUCGUAAAGCUCUGUUGUAAGUCAAGAACGGGUGUGAGAGUGGAAAGUUCACACUGUGACGGUAGCUUACCAGAAAGGGACGGCUAACUACGUG